UGGGGAAUAUUGGUCAAUGGAUGCAAGUCUGAACCAGCCAUGCCGCGUGCAGGAAGAAGGCCUUCUGGGUUGUAAACUGCUUUUGCCGGGGGAUAAAAAGCCCAUGCGUGGGAACUUGAAGGUACCCGGUGAAUAAGCCACGGCUAACUACGUGCCAGCAGCCGCGGUAAUACGUAGGUGGCAAGCGUUGUCCGGAUUUAUUGGGCGUAAAGCGCGCGUAGGCGGUUUCGUAAGUCGGGUGUGAAAACUCCAAGCUCAACUUGGAGCCUGCAUCCGAAACUGCGAUGACUCGAGUCAGGUAGGGGAACACGGAAUUCCAGGUGUAGCGGUGAAAUGCUUAGAUAUCUGGAGGAACACCAGUGGCGAAGGCGGUGUUCUGGGCCUGUACUGACGCUGAUGCGCGAAAGCGUGGGGAGCGAA
This 420-nucleotide ribosomal RNA is filed under the name uncultured bacterium. RNAcentral's name for it is "bacterial SSU rRNA". It matches the Rfam family "Bacterial small subunit ribosomal RNA", at positions 355 to 772 of the family's 1533-position model. The record is from RNAcentral.